UCUGUAGCUCAGUUGGAUAGAGCAACGGCCUUCUAAGCCGUGGGUCGGGGGUUCGAAUCCCUUCAGGC
RNAcentral lists this transfer RNA (68 nucleotides) under Enterocloster clostridioformis. It matches the Rfam family "tRNA", at positions 5 to 66 of the family's 71-position model. From Rfam's summary of the family: Transfer RNA (tRNA) molecules are approximately 80 nucleotides in length. Their secondary structure includes four short double-helical elements and three loops (D, anti-codon, and T loops). The record is from RNAcentral. Lineage: Bacteria; Bacillati; Bacillota; Clostridia; Lachnospirales; Lachnospiraceae. RNAcentral also lists the same sequence under 7 other names.